RNAcentral lists this ribosomal RNA (253 nucleotides) under uncultured bacterium. RNAcentral describes it as "partial 16S ribosomal RNA". It matches the Rfam family "Bacterial small subunit ribosomal RNA", at positions 524 to 776 of the family's 1533-position model. The record is from RNAcentral.
UACGUAGGGGGCAAGCGUUGUCCGGAUUUAUUGGGCGUAAAGAGCGUGUAGGCGGCUAGGUAGGUCCGUUGUGAAAACUCGAGGCUCAACCUCGAGACGCCGAUGGAAACCAUCUAGCUAGAGUCCGGAAGAGGAGAGUGGAAUUCCUGGUGUAGCGGUGAAAUGUGCAGAUAUCAGGAAGAACACCCGUGGCUAAGGCGGCUCUCUAGUACGGUACUGACGCUGAGACGCGAAAGCGUGGGGAGCGAACAGG